AAUGAACGCUGGCGGCGCGCCUAAUACAUGCAAGUCGAGCGAGAAGACGUAGCAAUACGUUUGUAAAGCGGCGAACGGGUGAGGAAUACAUGGGUAACCUACCCUCGAGUGGGGAAUAACUAGCCGAAAGGUUAGCUAAUACCGCGUACGCUUCUUGGACUUCGGUUCAGGGAGGAAAGCGAUGCCGAGGGUAUCGCGCUCUUGGAUGGGCUCAUGUCCUAUCAGCUUGUUGGGAGGUAACGGCUCACCAAGGCUUCGACGGGUAGCUGGUCUGAGAGGACGAUCAGCCACACUGGCACUGGCGACACGGGCCAGACUCCUACGGGAGGCAGCAGUAAGGAAUAUUGCGCAAU
Molecule: ribosomal RNA, 353 nt
Filed under: uncultured bacterium
Lineage: Bacteria
Description: bacterial SSU rRNA
Rfam family: Bacterial small subunit ribosomal RNA
Source: RNAcentral